GACGAACGCUGGCGGCGUGCUUAACACAUGCAAGUGGAGCGACGAACCAGGGCUUGCCCUGGGGCAGAGCCGCGAACGGGUGAGUAACACGUGGGUAACGUGCCCCGAUGACUGGGACAACCCGGGGAAACCCGGGCUAAUACCGGAUGUGCCCCCUCACAUAAGUGAGGUGUGUAAAGGAAGCUUCGGCCUCCGCAUCGGGAUCGGCCCGCGGCCCAUUAGCUUGUUGGUGAGGUAACGGCUCACCAAGGCUGCGAUGGGUAGCUGGUCUGAGAGGACGAUCAGCCACACUGGGACUGAGACACGGCCCAGACUCCUACGGGAGGCAGCAGUGGGGAAUCUUGCGCAAUGCGCGAAAGCGUGACGCAGCAACGCCGCGUGGGGGAAGACGGCCUUCGGGUUGUAAACCCCUUUCAGUUGGGACGAAGGUCGGGCGGUUAACAGCCGUUCCGGCUGACGGUACCUUCACAAGAAGCCCCGGCUAACUACGUG
RNAcentral lists this ribosomal RNA (492 nucleotides) under uncultured bacterium. RNAcentral's name for it is "partial 16S ribosomal RNA". It matches the Rfam family "Bacterial small subunit ribosomal RNA", at positions 28 to 507 of the family's 1533-position model. The record is from RNAcentral.